Molecule: unclassified non-coding RNA, 353 nt
Filed under: soil metagenome
Description: partial contains 5.8S ribosomal RNA, internal transcribed spacer 2, and large subunit ribosomal RNA
Rfam family: 5.8S ribosomal RNA (bases 1-120)
Source: RNAcentral
GAUGAAGAACGCAGCGAAAUGCGAUAAGUAAUGUGAAUUGCAGAAUUCAGUGAAUCAUCGAAUCUUUGAACGCACAUUGCGCCCGCCAGUAUUCUGGCGGGCAUGUCUGUUCGAGCGUCAUUACAACCCUCAGGCCCCCGGGCCUGGCGUUGGGGAUCGGCGGAAGCCCCCUGCGGGCACAACGCCGUCCCCCAAAUACAGUGGCGGUCCCGCCGCAGCUUCCAUUGCGUAGUAGCUAACACCUCGCAACUGGAGAGCGGCGCGGCCACGCCGUAAAACACCCAACUUCUGAAUGUUGACCUCGAAUCAGGUAGGAAUACCCGCUGAACUUAAGCAUAUCAAUAAGCGGAGGA